This 468-nucleotide ribosomal RNA is filed under the name uncultured bacterium. Its description in RNAcentral is "partial 16S ribosomal RNA". It matches the Rfam family "Bacterial small subunit ribosomal RNA", at positions 28 to 507 of the family's 1533-position model. The record is from RNAcentral.
GACGAACGCUGGCGGCGUGCUUAACACAUGCGAGUCGAACGGAAAGGCCCUGCUUUUGUGGGGUGCUCGAGUGGCGAACGGGUGAGUAACACGUGAGUAACCUGCCCUUGACUUUGGGAUAACUUCAGGAAACUGGGGCUAAUACCGGAUAGGAGCUCCUGCUGCAUGGUGGGGGUUGGAAAGUUUCGGCGGUUGGGGAUGGACUCGCGGCUUAUCAGCUGGUUGGUGGGGUAGUGGCUUACCAAGGCUUUGACGGGUAGCCGGCCUGGGAGGGUGACCGGCCACAUUGGGACUGAGAUACGGCGCAGACUCCUACGGGAGGCAGCAGUGGGGAAUAUUGCACAAUGGGGGGAAGCCUGAUGCAGCAACGCCGCGUGCGGGAUGACGUCCUUCGGGUUGUAAACCGCUUUCGCCUGUGACGAAGCGUGAGUGACGGUAAUGGGUAAAGAAGCACCGGCUAACUACGUG